This 836-nucleotide ribosomal RNA is filed under the name uncultured bacterium. RNAcentral describes it as "bacterial SSU rRNA". It matches the Rfam family "Bacterial small subunit ribosomal RNA", at positions 10 to 877 of the family's 1533-position model. The record is from RNAcentral.
AGUUUGAUCCUGGCUCGAAUGAACGCUGGCGGCAGGCCUAACACAUGCAAGUCGAACGGAGUUAUAUUGUAGCUUGCCAUGGUAUAACUUAGUGGCAGACGGGUGAGUAAUGUAUAGGAAUCUACCUAGUAGUACGGAAUAAUUGUUGGAAACGGCAACUAAUACCGUAUACGCCCUACGGGGGAAAAAUUUAUUGCUAUUAGAUGAGCCUAUAUUAGAUUAGCUAGUUGGUGGAGUAAUAGCCUACCAAGGCAAUGAUCUAUAGCUGAUCUGAGAGGAUGAUCAGCCACACUGGAACUGAGAUACGGUCCAGACUCCUACGGGAGGCAGCAGUGGGGAAUAUUGGACAAUGGGCGAAAGCCUGAUCCAGCCAUGCCGCAUGAGUGAAGAAGGCCUUUGGGUUGUAAAGCUCUUUUAGUGAGGAAGAUAAUGACGGUACUCACAGAAGAAGUCCUGGCUAACUCCGUGCCAGCAGCCGCGGUAAUACGGAGAGGGCUAGCGUUAUUCGGAAUUAUUGGGCGUAAAGGGCGCGUAGGCGGAUUAGUAAGUUAAAAGUGAAAUCCCAAGGCUCAACCUUGGAAUUGCUUUUAAAACUGCUAAUCUAGAGAUUGAAAGAGGAUAGAGGAAUUCCUAGUGUAGAGGUGAAAUUCGUAAAUAUUAGGAGGAACACCAGUGGCGAAGGCGUCUAUCUGGUUCAAAUCUGACGCUGAGGCGCGAAGGCGUGGGGAGCAAACAGGAUUAGAUACCCUGGUAGUCCACGCUGUAAACGAUGAAUGUUAAAUAUGGGAAGUUUUACUUUCUGUAUUACAGCUAACGCGUUAAACAUUCCGCCUGGG